ACCGGCGGCUCGAGUGGUAACCGUUAUUAUUGGGUCUAAAGGGUCUGUAGCCGGCCGGAUAAGUCUCUUGAGAAAUCUGGCAGCUUAACUGUCAGGCUUUCAGGAGAUACUGUCAGACUCGAGGCCGGGAGAGGUGAGAGGUACUUCCGGGGUAGGGGUGAAAUCUUAUAAUCCUUGAAGGACCACCAGUGGCGAAGGCGCCUAACUAGAACGGACCUGACAGUAAGGGACGAAAGCUAGGGGCACGAACCG
This 252-nucleotide ribosomal RNA is filed under the name uncultured prokaryote. RNAcentral describes it as "partial 16S rRNA". It matches the Rfam family "Archaeal small subunit ribosomal RNA", at positions 475 to 726 of the family's 1478-position model. The record is from RNAcentral.